Molecule: ribosomal RNA, 459 nt
Filed under: uncultured bacterium
Lineage: Bacteria
Description: bacterial SSU rRNA
Rfam family: Bacterial small subunit ribosomal RNA
Source: RNAcentral
UGGGGAAUUUUGGACAAUGGGGGAAACCCUGAUCCAGCCAUUCCGCGUGAGUGAAGAAGGCCUUCGGGUUGUAAAGCUCUUUCGGCAGGAACGAAACGGUUUGGGCUAAUACCCCAGACUACUGACGGUACCUGAAGAAGAAGCACCGGCUAACUACGUGCCAGCAGCCGCGGUAAUACGUAGGGUGCGAGCGUUAAUCGGAUUUACUGGGCGUAAAGCAUGCGCAGGCGGCGGUUCAAGUCAGGUGUGAAAUCCCCGAGCUUAACUUGGGAAUUGCGCUUGAAACUAGAUCGCUAGAGUACGGCAGAGGGGGGUAGAAUUCCACGUGUAGCAGUGAAAUGCGUAGAGAUGUGGAGGAACACCGAUGGCGAAGGCAGCCCCCUGGGCCUGUACUGACGCUCAUGCAUGAAAGCGUGGGGAGCAAACAGGAUUAGAUACCCCAGUAGUCCCUGAGCGGGC